Molecule: ribosomal RNA, 119 nt
Filed under: Pteropus alecto (black flying fox)
Lineage: Eukaryota; Metazoa; Chordata; Mammalia; Chiroptera; Pteropodidae
Source: RNAcentral
UGCGAUGGCCACGCCACCCUGAACGAACCCGAUCCCGUCUGAUCUCGGAAGCUAAGCAGGGUCGGGCCUGGUGAGUACUUGGAUGGGAGACUACCUAGGAAGACCAGGUGCUGUAGGAG